RNAcentral lists this ribosomal RNA (440 nucleotides) under uncultured bacterium. RNAcentral describes it as "partial 16S ribosomal RNA". It matches the Rfam family "Bacterial small subunit ribosomal RNA", at positions 338 to 795 of the family's 1533-position model. The record is from RNAcentral.
CCUACGGGAGGCAGCAGUGGGGAAUAUUGCACAAUGGGGGGAACCCUGAUGCAGCGACGCCGCGUGAGGGAAGAAGGAUUUCGGGAUGUAAAGCUCUAUCAGCAGGGAAGAAAAUGACGGUACCUGACUAAGAAGCCCCGCCUAACUACGUGCCAGCAGCCGCGGUAAUACGUAGGGGGCAAGCGUUAUCCGGAUUUACUGGGUGUAAAGGGAGCGCAGACGGAUGUGCAGGUCUGGAGUGAAAGGCGGGGGCCCAACCCCCGGACUGCUCUGGAAACUGUAAAGCUGGAGUGCAGGAGAGGUAAGCGGAAUUCCUAGUGUAGCGGUGAAAUGCGUAGAUAUUAGGAGGAACACCAGUGGCGAAGGCGGCUUACUGGACUGCAACUGACGUUGAGGCUCGAAAGCGUGGGGAGCAAACAGGAUUAGAUACCCCUGUAGUC